RNAcentral lists this ribosomal RNA (404 nucleotides) under Verrucomicrobiota bacterium. Its description in RNAcentral is "Verrucomicrobia bacterium partial 16S ribosomal RNA". It matches the Rfam family "Bacterial small subunit ribosomal RNA", at positions 355 to 776 of the family's 1533-position model. The record is from RNAcentral. Lineage: Bacteria; Pseudomonadati; Verrucomicrobiota.
UGGGGAAUAUUGCACAAUGGGGGAAACCCUGAUGCAGCGACGCCGCGUGAGCGAUGAAGGCUUUCGAGUCGUAAAGCUCUGUCCUAUGGGAAGAUAAUGACGGUACCAUAGAAGAAAGCCCCGGCUAAUUACGUGCCAGCAGCCGCGGUAAUACGUAAGGGGCGAGCGUUGUCCGGAAUUAUUGGGCGUAAAGAGUGCGUAGGCGGCAAAUUAAGUCAGAUGUGAAAACUAAGGGCUCAACCCAUAGAUUGCAUCUGAAACUGAUAUGCUUGAGUCAAGGAGAGGAAAGUGGAAUUCCUAGUGUAGCGGUGGAAUGCGUAGAUAUUAGGAGGAAUACCGGUGGCGAAUGCGACUUUCUGGACUUGAACUGACGCUGAGGCACGAAAGCGUGGGGAGCAAACAGG